RNAcentral lists this ribosomal RNA (1025 nucleotides) under Shewanella sp. Its description in RNAcentral is "bacterial SSU rRNA". It matches the Rfam family "Bacterial small subunit ribosomal RNA", at positions 35 to 1048 of the family's 1533-position model. The record is from RNAcentral. Lineage: Bacteria; Pseudomonadati; Pseudomonadota; Gammaproteobacteria; Alteromonadales; Shewanellaceae.
CCCAUUGGCGCAGCCUAACACAUGCAAGUCGAGCGGCAGCGCAAGGGAGUUUACUCCUGAGGUGGCGAGCGGCGGACGGGUGAGUAAUGCCUAGGGAUCUGCCCAGUCGAGGGGGAUAACAGUUGGAAACGACUGCUAAUACCGCAUACGCCCUACGGGGGAAAGGAGGGGACCUUCGGGCCUUCCGCGAUUGGAUGAACCUAGGUGGGAUUAGCUAGUUGGUGAGGUAAUGGCUCACCAAGGCGACGAUCCCUAGCUGUUCUGAGAGGAUGAUCAGCCACACUGGGACUGAGACACGGCCCAGACUCCUACGGGAGGCAGCAGUGGGGAAUAUUGCACAAUGGGGGAAACCCUGAUGCAGCCAUGCCGCGUGUGUGAAGAAGGCCUUCGGGUUGUAAAGCACUUUCAGUAGGGAGGAAAGGGUGUAGUUUAAUACGCUAUAUCUGUGACGUUACCUACAGAAGAAGGACCGGCUAACUCCGUGCCAGCAGCCGCGGUAAUACGGAGGGUCCGAGCGUUAAUCGGAAUUACUGGGCGUAAAGCGUGCGCAGGCGGUUUGUUAAGCGAGAUGUGAAAGCCCUGGGCUCAACCUAGGAAUAGCAUUUCGAACUGGCGAACUAGAGUCUUGUAGAGGGGGGUAGAAUUCCAGGUGUAGCGGUGAAAUGCGUAGAGAUCUGGAGGAAUACCGGUGGCGAAGGCGGCCCCCUGGACAAAGACUGACGCUCAUGCACGAAAGCGUGGGGAGCAAACAGGAUUAGAUACCCUGGUAGUCCACGCCGUAAACGAUGUCUACUCGGAGUUUGGUGUCUUGAACACUGGGCUCUCAAGCUAACGCAUUAAGUAGACCGCCUGGGGAGUACGGCCGCAAGGUUAAAACUCAAAUGAAUUGACGGGGGCCCGCACAAGCGGUGGAGCAUGUGGUUUAAUUCGAUGCAACGCGAAAACCUUACCUACUCUUGACAUCCAGAGAAUUCGCUAGAGAUAGCUUAGUGCCUUCGGGAACUUCUGAGACAGGUGCUGCAUGG